This 292-nucleotide ribosomal RNA is filed under the name uncultured bacterium. RNAcentral describes it as "partial 16S ribosomal RNA". It matches the Rfam family "Bacterial small subunit ribosomal RNA", at positions 775 to 1067 of the family's 1533-position model. The record is from RNAcentral.
GGAUUAGAUACCCUGGUAGUCCACGCUGUAAACGAUGAGAACUGGACGUUGGGCAGGUUACUGCUUGGUGUCGUAGCUAACGCGCUAAGUUCUCCGCCUGGGGAGUACGGCCGCAAGGUUGAAACUCAAAGGAAUUGACGGGGGCCCGCACAAGCGGUGGAGCAUGUGGUUUAAUUCGAUGCAACGCGAAGAACCUUACCUGCCCUUGACAUCGACGGAAGCCUACCGAGAGGUGGGUGUGCCUUCGGGAGCCGUCAGACAGGUGCUGCAUGGCUGUCGUCAGCUCGUGCCG